Molecule: ribosomal RNA, 503 nt
Filed under: uncultured bacterium
Lineage: Bacteria
Description: bacterial SSU rRNA
Rfam family: Bacterial small subunit ribosomal RNA
Source: RNAcentral
GGCGGCGUGCCUAAUACAUGCAAGUCGAGCGCAGGAAACAAGUAGAUCCCUUCGGGGUGACGCUUGUGGAAUGAGCGGCGGACGGGUGAGUAACACGUGGGCAACCUACCUUGUAGACUGGGAUAACUCCGGGAAACCGGAGCUAAUACGGGAUGAUCAUUUGAAUCGCAUGAUUGAAAUGUAAAAGUGGGGAGUAAUCCUCACACUAUGAGAUGGGCCCGCGGCGCAUUAGCUAGUUGGUAAGGUAAUGGCUUACCAAGGCAACGAUGCGUAGCCGACCUGAGAGGGUGAUCGGCCACACUGGAACUGAGACACGGUCCAGACUCCUACGGGAGGCAGCAGUAGGGAAUCAUCCGCAAUGGGCGAAAGCCUGACGGUGCAACGCCGCGUGAACGAUGAAGGUUUUCGGAUCGUAAAGUUCUGUUAUGAGGGAAGAACAAGUGCCGUUCGAAUGGGGCGGCACCUUGACGGUACCUCACGAGAAAGCCCCGGCUAACUACGUG